RNAcentral lists this ribosomal RNA (513 nucleotides) under Fusarium sp. SIN40. RNAcentral's name for it is "eukaryotic LSU rRNA". The stretch from base 156 to 309 matches the Rfam family "5.8S ribosomal RNA". The record is from RNAcentral. Lineage: Eukaryota; Fungi; Ascomycota; Sordariomycetes; Hypocreales; Nectriaceae.
CAUUACCGAGUUAUUCAACUCAUCAACCCUGUGAACAUACCUAAACGUUGCUUCGGCGGGAAUAGACGGCCCCGUGAAACGGGCCGCCCCCGCCAGAGGACCCUUAACUCUGUUUCUAUAAUGUUUCUUCUGAGUAAAACAAGCAAAUAAAUUAAAACUUUCAACAACGGAUCUCUUGGCUCUGGCAUCGAUGAAGAACGCAGCGAAAUGCGAUAAGUAAUGUGAAUUGCAGAAUUCAGUGAAUCAUCGAAUCUUUGAACGCACAUUGCGCCCGCCAGUAUUCUGGCGGGCAUGCCUGUUCGAGCGUCAUUACAACCCUCAGGCCCCCGGGCCUGGCGUUGGGGAUCGGCGGAGCCCCCCGUGGGCACACGCCGUCCCCCAAAUACAGUGGCGGUCCCGCCGCAGCUUCCAUCGCGUAGUAGCUAACACCUCGCGACUGGAGAGCGGCGCGGCCACGCCGUAAAACACCCAACUUCUUCUGAAGUUGACCUCGAAUCAGGUAGGAAUACCCGC